Molecule: small RNA, 177 nt
Filed under: Parus major (Great Tit)
Lineage: Eukaryota; Metazoa; Chordata; Aves; Passeriformes; Paridae
Description: TUC338 (ENSPMJG00000018125.1)
Source: RNAcentral
GUGACAGCGCUAGAAAGUGAAGUCCUCUGUUUAUCUGGACAAUUGGUGCAGAAGACUAUUGGCAAUGCAAGUUUCUCCCCAUAACCCCAUCUGUGUUUUGCAGCUGUAACUUUGAGGGAUCACCUUUAGGAACAAGGAGAUGACUUGAAAUGUGUACUCUUUCCAUUCUUAGCCUCU